This 125-nucleotide small RNA is filed under the name Marmota monax (woodchuck). Lineage: Eukaryota; Metazoa; Chordata; Mammalia; Rodentia; Sciuridae. The record is from RNAcentral.
GCUGGGUGAGGUGGCGCUCACCUGUAAUCCCAGCAGCUUGGGAGCCUGAGGCAGGAGGAUCAUGAGUUCAAAGCCAGCUUCAGCAAGACCAAGGAGCUAAGCAACUUAGCAAGACCUUGUCUCUA